ACGUUGAAGCAGCAGUUCCCGUACGACCACCUAAGUUAAGCAACGUCGAGCCUGGUCACUUAGAUGGGUGACCGCUUGGGAAUACCAAGCAC
Molecule: non-coding RNA, 92 nt
Organism: Acanthosepion pharaonis
Lineage: Eukaryota; Metazoa; Mollusca; Cephalopoda; Sepiida; Sepiidae
Source: the annotation of a GenBank genome assembly